CACGUGAGCCCCAAGCGUUAUCCGGAUUCAUUGGGCGUACAGGGUCCGUAGGCGGCCUUGCAAGUCGUAUGUUAAAUCUUUGGGCUCAACCCAGAGGCCGCAUACGAAACUGCUUGGCUAGAGGACGGGAGAGGCAGACGGAAUUGCCGGUGUAGCGGUAAAAUGCGUUAAUAUCGGCAAGAACACCAAAGGCGAAAGCAGUCUGCUGGAACGUUCCUGACGCUGAGGGACGAAAGCGUGGGUAGCGAAUGGG
Molecule: unclassified non-coding RNA, 253 nt
Filed under: uncultured bacterium
Lineage: Bacteria
Description: contains 16S-23S intergenic spacer region
Rfam family: Bacterial small subunit ribosomal RNA
Source: RNAcentral